RNAcentral lists this ribosomal RNA (253 nucleotides) under uncultured bacterium. Its description in RNAcentral is "partial 16S ribosomal RNA". It matches the Rfam family "Bacterial small subunit ribosomal RNA", at positions 524 to 776 of the family's 1533-position model. The record is from RNAcentral.
UACGUAGGGACCAAGCGUUGUUCGGAUUUACUGGGCGUAAAGGGCGCGUAGGCGGCGCGGUAAGUCACUUGUGAAAUCUCUGAGCUUAACUCAGAACGGCCAAGUGAUACUGCAGUGCUAGAGUGUGGAAGGGGCAAUCGGAAUUCUUGGUGUAGCGGUGAAAUGCGUAGAUAUCAAGAGGAACACCUGAGGUGAAGACGGGUUGCUGGGCCAACACUGACGCUGAUGCGCGAAAGCCAGGGGAGCGAACGGG